This is a long non-coding RNA of Ipomoea triloba (trilobed morning glory), 610 nucleotides long. RefSeq lists it as uncharacterized. The record is from RefSeq and is a predicted model, not a curated record. Lineage: Eukaryota; Viridiplantae; Streptophyta; Magnoliopsida; Solanales; Convolvulaceae. The transcript is spliced from 2 exons.
ACAACAUACUCAACAAUACACACAAAAAUUUCAAUCCCAUAACUUUACAUUAUUUGAUCCGAAAUCAAGGUAUAGACAGCAAACAUGGCCGCUUGCAAAGUUGGUUUCUUCACCGUCCUCCUUGUGUGUGGUAUUUUUUUAUUGGGAAGCAAUGUGGAGCUUGGAAAUGCUCAGUUUUGCACUCAGGAAUGCAAUCCUAGAGCAACCUAUAUGAUCUGCCCACCUAAUACCAGGACUGAGCCUGUUUGUAGAAAUUGUUGUCAAGUUGCAAACACCGGCUGUCAACUCUUUGAUUCCAAGGAUUCGCCACUUUGCACCUAGACUGAGUCUUUUGCAAGGUUGUAUCGAUCAUUCCAAAUGUUUAAAUCAAGUAAUUGCAACCGUAAUAAUAAUAAUGUCUCAAUCAUCAAUAUAGAUGGAAUAAGAUUGUAAGACUCUUGAAUAACUAUGCAUGGGGGUGAGACUACUAGUAUAGUCUAUUACCUUUAUUGUAAUCAAACCUCACUAUUGUAGUGUGGUUUUGUUGUUGUUGUUAAAUGUGAACUGUUUGGGUUGUUAUUACUUCUGUUUGAAUUCGAGGAGGAAUGUGCAAAUGCUAAGUUUUAAUUUC